This 624-nucleotide long non-coding RNA is filed under the name Homo sapiens (human). RNAcentral's name for it is "HSALNT0403186". The record is from RNAcentral. Lineage: Eukaryota; Metazoa; Chordata; Mammalia; Primates; Hominidae.
AUCUUUCACCUGCCAAGAAAAGCUCUGCUUCCACACCAAAGCAGGACCUCGAGUUUCAAACUGAGGGGAUGACAGUCAGCAGCUUCCACCAAGACAAACCUGUGUCUGCUUUGCAGGAGCUUGUCAAGAAUCCUGGUGACUAAGGACUGGUUUGAAAAUAACCGGUAUUGUCCACGGGCUGAUCAUAGGAGUUGGUCUUUGAAUUUCACUCUUGUGGCCCAGGCUGGAGUGCAAUGGCGUGAUCUCAGCUCACUGCAACUUCUACCUCUCGGAUUCAAGUGAUUCUCCUGCCUCAGCCUCCCAGGUAGCUGGGUUUACAGGAAUGAAAUGGACGUUCUUACUCAUCAUACCAUAAGCAUCCAGGUGAAUGAUUGCUCACUUCUUUCAUCUAAUGAGGAAUUGGCUUUCUUGAGAAUCUCAAUGCAGUGUACCUCCAACCUUAACAGACUGCUGUAAAACACCCUGACCAUUCUUUAGUAUAAGCACUGAAGAAGACAGUAUGUUGACCACGAGGCACCUGGCCUGGCUCAUAGUAUGCCAUCAAGAAAUGCUAAUUUUCUAUUUCCUCUUUUUCAAAGAGUUAUUUCAAGAAAGAAAGGAGAGGAGAGGAUGUUACAAAUUCCA